This 533-nucleotide ribosomal RNA is filed under the name uncultured Microgenomates group bacterium. RNAcentral describes it as "bacterial SSU rRNA". It matches the Rfam family "Bacterial small subunit ribosomal RNA", at positions 355 to 914 of the family's 1533-position model. The record is from RNAcentral.
CUGGGAAUCGUACGCAAUGGACGAAAGUCUGACGUCGCGACGCCGCGUGAGGGAUGAAGGCGUAUUCGUUGUAAACCUCUUUUGAUUAGUUAGAGAUAACUAGUAGAAUAAGUACCCGCUAACCACGUGCCAGCAGCUGCGGUAAUACGUGGGGUACAAGCGUUACCCGGAUUUAUUGGGCGUAAAGCGUUUCGUAGGCUGCUUUUUAAGUCACACUUUAAAGACCAGAGCUUAACUUUGGGAAGGGGUGUGAUACUGGAAAGCUGGAAAACUUUAGGGGCUACUGGAACUGUCGGUGUAGGGGUGAAAUCCGUUGAUAUCGACAGGAACUCCAAGGGCGAAGGCAGGUAGCUGGGAAGUUUUUGACGCUGAGGAACGAAAGCUAGGGGAGCGAAAGGGAUUAGAGACCCCUGUAGUCCUAGCUGUAAACUAUGCUCGCUAGGGGGAUGUUUUAUUAUGUCUCCCGUAAGCUAACGCGUGAAGCGAGCCGCCUGGGGAGUACGAACGCAAGUUUAAAACUCAAAGAAAUUGAC